AGCAGCCGCGGUAAUUCCAGCUCCAAUAGCGUAUAUUAAAGUUGCUGCAGUUAAAAAGCUCGUAGUUGAAUUUCGGGAUCAAUAUGUUGGUCGUGCCUCGGUACGUACUAGCUUAUUGGUUUCUUCCUUCUGACGAACCAUAAUGUCAUUUAUUUGGUGUUAUGGGGAAUCAGGACUGUUACUUUGAAAAAUUAGAGUGUUUAAAGCAGGCUCACGCUUGAAUACAUUAGCAUGGAAUAAUGAAAUAGGACGUUUGAAUCUAUUUUGUUGGUUUCUAGGAUCGACGUAAUGAUUAAUAGGGAUAGUUGGGGGCAUUAGUAUUCAAUUGUCAGAGGUGAAAUUCUUGGAUUUAUUGAAGACUAACUACUGCGAAAGCAUUUGCCAAGGAUGUUUUCAUUAAUCAAGAACGAAAGUUAGGGGACCGAAGACGAUCAGAUACCGUCGUAGUCCUAACCAUAAACUAUGCCGACUAGGGAUCGGAUGAUGUUAAUUUUUAAUGACUCAUUCGGCGCCUUACGGG
RNAcentral lists this unclassified non-coding RNA (520 nucleotides) under uncultured Glomus. Its description in RNAcentral is "SSU rRNA". It matches the Rfam family "Eukaryotic small subunit ribosomal RNA", at positions 569 to 1094 of the family's 1831-position model. Lineage: Eukaryota; Fungi; Glomeromycota; Glomeromycetes; Glomerales; Glomeraceae. The record is from RNAcentral.